AACAUCGCGCACCUGCGGGAACCUGCGGAGGGAUCAUUACUGAAUGGUCUCCACGACCUUUGACCCAUAAAGCCUGUGGCAAAAUCAUGUGCUUUGGCGCCCUCGGGGCGCCAUGACCAUGCAUGUAUAUGUCCUGUCGUCUGAAGUAUUGUAACAAGCAAAACUUUCAACAAUGGAUCU
Molecule: unclassified non-coding RNA, 180 nt
Filed under: soil metagenome
Description: partial contains 5.8S ribosomal RNA, internal transcribed spacer 2, and large subunit ribosomal RNA
Source: RNAcentral